GAUGAACGCUGGCGGCGUGCCUAAUACAUGCAAGUCGAGCGAACAGAUGAGGAGCUUGCUCCUCUGACGUUAGCGGCGGACGGGUGAGUAACACGUGGAUAACCUACCUAUAAGACUGGGAUAACUUCGGGAAACCGGAGCUAAUACCGGAUAAUAUAUUGAACCGCAUGGUUCAAUAGUGAAAGACGGUUUUGCUGUCACUUAUAGAUGGAUCCGCGCCGCAUUAGCUAGUUGGUAAGGUAACGGCUUACCAAGGCGACGAUGCGUAGCCGACCUGAGAGGGUGAUCGGCCACACUGGAAAUGAGACACGGUCCAGACUCCUACGGGAGGCAGCAGUAGGGAAUCUUCCGCAAUGGGCGAAAGCCUGACGGAGCAACGCCGCGUGAGUGAUGAAGGUCUUCGGAUCGUAAAACUCUGUUAUUAGGGAAGAACAAAUGUGUAAGUAACUAUGCACGUCUUGACGGUACCUAAUCAGAAAGCCACGGCUAACUACGUG
RNAcentral lists this ribosomal RNA (497 nucleotides) under uncultured bacterium. Its description in RNAcentral is "partial 16S ribosomal RNA". It matches the Rfam family "Bacterial small subunit ribosomal RNA", at positions 28 to 507 of the family's 1533-position model. The record is from RNAcentral.